Oreochromis aureus is the source of this 1370-nucleotide long non-coding RNA. RefSeq lists it as uncharacterized. Lineage: Eukaryota; Metazoa; Chordata; Actinopteri; Cichliformes; Cichlidae. The record is from RefSeq and is a predicted model, not a curated record. The transcript has 5 exons.
GAACAGGUUGCUGUAGCCGCUCUCUUCCUCCUAAAGCUGAUCACGGUCUCUCUGGUCUUAUUCACAUUCAGACGCUGAUGCUUCUCCCAGAGCACUCCACAAAAUCAUCCACUAGCGCUCUGUACUCCUCCUCCUCCUCCUCCUCGUGCACAUUACUUAUACAUCCAACCCCUGCAGAAUGGUCAGACUAUUUCUGUAGGUGGCAUGACCUGGAGUUGUACUGAAACUCGGAGGUUCGCAAGGUGCACAGGAACAAGUAUUUGAAACAAACCUCGGUGGGAAAUUCCUGCAUACUUCACUCUGUCAGAGUCUGCAAGAAACAACAAUGUGGUGGAGAAAGUUGCUCGGCUACCUGACGGAGCGAGUCAGGAACAAUCUGCACAUCGCUGUCCAUGUGAACCCAGCGGCGGAGCCUGUCAGGAAAACGAGCCUCUGAAGUAAGAAGACUCAACGAACAUCAAGCCCCUCGCCCCCAGCACAGCGAUAUAGCCCAUCAUCAUCCUCCAGCGUGAAGAGUCCACCUGGGCGGAGGCCAAGAGCCAGCUGGGAAAGGAGCAGCAGCACACACAGGAUGAAGGGAUAGAGAAGGAGACAACUGACACGAGAUAUGUAGGAAGACAGAGCCAAAGAAAACAGGUGAUGCACUGGGCCCUGACGAUGAGUGGAGUCAACCCACUGAUGAAGAGAAACCACUGGAAUUGCUCAGUUUUGGCAUCUAAAAGGUGGAGGGACGCAAGAGGGGACGGGUGGAGCCCAAGGUCCAGGUGAGCUUGAGGCCGAGGCGUGGGGAGGCAGGCAGGUGGUCGGCCAGGGAGGAGCAACCAGUCUCCACCCAGAGGAGGAGGGCUGCUGCUGGAUAACUGCAGAGACCCACCCAGACCAUGACACCGUUUGAGAUGGCUUGAGCUUUGUGACAUGGAGGCAGCUACCAGACGUUCAGUACACUGCUGUCACAAAGGGAUGGACAUGGGCUCCACAGACCGGACCACAUUUUUCCAAUCUGCUACUGUCCAGUUUUGGUGAGCCCAUGGAACUGUAGCCUUUCAAAGAAAUUAAAAAAAAAUGUGGCAUACAUAAAGUGCUUUACAAUGUCUGCUGUUGUGAACUGGAAUCAGAGGUGAAAGCUGAAUCAGAGGUAUUUUUUUUUCUGUCUCAAUUAAAUCCAUCCAUCCAUUUUUCUUAACCAUGCAAUUAACUUAUCCAAUUCAGGUUCAAUUCAACUGAUAUAAAAGUGUGUUUUCCUGUUCAGUGUGAACAAGAAAUAUUUUGGGAGCCUUGAAAGUGCUACAGUGUAUGACGUCUUCUCUUUUAAACUCCUGUCUAUAGUUACAUUUAUCAAACAUGGGCCAUUUUUCAAUGUUGGUUAUUGA